GAUGAACGCUGGCGGCGUGCCUAAUACAUGCAAGUCGAGCGAACAGACGAGGAGCUUGCUCCUCUGACGUUAGCGGCGGACGGGUGAGUAACACGUGGAUAACCUACCUAUAAGACUGGGAUAACUUCGGGAAACCGGAGCUAAUACCGGAUAAUAUAUUGAACCGCAUGGUUCAAUAGUGAAAGACGGUUUUGCUGUCCCUUAUAGAUGGAUCCGCGCCGCAUUAGCUAGUUGGUAAGGUAACGGCUUACCAAGGCAACGAUGCGUAGCCGACCUGAGAGGGUGAUCAGCCACACUGGAACUGAGACACGGUCCAGACUCCUACGGGAGGCAGCAGUAGGGAAUCUUCCGCAAUGGGCGAAAGCUUGACGGAGCAACGCCGCGUGAGUGAUGAAGGUCUUCGGAUCGUAAAACUCUGUUAUUAGGGAAGAACAAAUGUGUAAGUAACUAUGCACGUCUUGACGGUACCUAAUCAGAAAGCCACGGCUAACUACGUG
This 497-nucleotide ribosomal RNA is filed under the name uncultured bacterium. Its description in RNAcentral is "partial 16S ribosomal RNA". It matches the Rfam family "Bacterial small subunit ribosomal RNA", at positions 28 to 507 of the family's 1533-position model. The record is from RNAcentral.